RNAcentral lists this ribosomal RNA (232 nucleotides) under uncultured bacterium. Its description in RNAcentral is "partial 16S ribosomal RNA". It matches the Rfam family "Bacterial small subunit ribosomal RNA", at positions 118 to 347 of the family's 1533-position model. The record is from RNAcentral.
UGAGCAAUCUGCCCUUCUCAUCGGAAUAAGCGUUGGAAACGACGUCUAAUGCCGAAUACGACCUCCUUUCGCAUGAUCGGAGGUGGAAAGCUCCGGCGGAGAAGGAUGAGCUCGCGGCCUAUCAGCUAGUUGGUGUGGGUAAUGGCCCACAAGGCGACGACGGGUAGCCGGCCUGGAGGGGGUGACCGGCCACACUGGGACUGAGACACGGCCCAGACUCCUACGGGAGNAG